Molecule: ribosomal RNA, 437 nt
Filed under: uncultured bacterium
Lineage: Bacteria
Description: partial 16S ribosomal RNA
Rfam family: Bacterial small subunit ribosomal RNA
Source: RNAcentral
AGCGAACGCUGGCGGCAGGCUUAACACAUGCAAGUCGAGCGGGCAUCCUUGUGGUGUCAGCGGCAGACGGGUGAGUAACGCGUGGGAACGUGCCCUUCGGUUCGGAAUAACUCAGGGAAACUUGAGCUAAUACCGGAUACGUGCGAGAGCAGAAAGGUUUAUCUGCCGAAGGAUCGGCCCGCGUCUGAUUAGCUAGUUGGUGAGGUUAUGGCUCACCAAGGCGACGAUCAGUAGCUGGUCUGAGAGGAUGAUCAGCCACACUGGGACUGAGACACGGCCCAGACUCCUACGGGAGGCAGCAGUGGGGAAUAUUGGACAAUGGGGGCAACCCUGAUCCAGCCAUGCCGCGUGAGUGAAGACGGCCUUAGGGUUGUAAAGCUCUUUUCUCCGGGACGAUAAUGACGGUACCGGAGGAAUAAGCCCCGGCUAACUUCGUG